AAGAAAAGUUAAAAUGAGAAAUGAAAGAAAAAGAGAUAAGAAGCAAGAAACAAGGACAGAGGAAAACUCCCCAAACCCCAUAAAGUGGUGAAGAAGAAAGGAGAAAAGGAAAGUAAAAAAAAGAAAAAACAACCCCCCCACACACAUGAAAAAAAUUUCUCUGUGAUUUUGAAUAUGUGGUUUUCUUCCAGAAUCUACAAUUUUGGCCGAGUGUCCAAGUCAGGACAUGUCUCUGCUCAUACUGGUAGAUAAAGAAGGCAAUCAGACCACCAAUCUGUACUAGAUGCAGGUACCAGCAGCAGUAGGAUUAGGGUGAGGUUGCCAAUGCUGCAACUUUCAAAUCCAGAAAAACUCAAGCUGAGCCUGACCUCUGGUCAUGAGGGUGGGGCUUGUGUCUUUUAAUCCAAACCUCUUAUUGGGUCUCUUUCCAUCCUUAUCAGAGCUCCCUGACCAUGGUUUCCUGUGACUGUCUCUCACCCAGUCACUGUGGGAACAUAACACUGGGAGCCCUGAGGUGAAGCCAUCCAGCAGCUGCCCUGAGUUCUGGGUUCAAACAACCAGCCCUUCUCCAGAAUGUCAUCUGACCAAGGAAUAUGUCGGAUUCUUGGACUGGAGUCAUUCACCAGCUGUUGCCUGUCAAAGGACUCAUGUGGGAGCAUAUUUUCGUGUUCUUCUUGCAGCUCACAGCACCUGCAGGUAUCAAUCUCAACAGGAAGGAAGCUUUCUUCCAGUAGUUUUGGAAAAACAAAAACCAGAUUCCUCCCUGAGCUAAAGUAGGCAGAUAUCUUCUGCCAUACCUUAAAUGCCCUCCAUCUGGCCUACCUAGAGAUCAGCCUCAUUCCAUGGAGAACUUCUGAACUGAUGUACCUUCUUUUAUAGUGUGACCCUCUGUCUCCAGGAAAAGGUCAAUGUCAGUAGAACUCAUGGAAUUCUGGGUCCAUUCUGGUGGGGAGUUAAGAAAGCAGCAUUUGGUAAGAAUAUUGGUUUCCCAGGGCUGCUGUAAUGAGGGACUACAGGCUGGAUUACUUACACAACAGAAUUUAUUCUCUCACAGUUCUGGAGGCCAGAAGUCUGAAAUCAAGAUGUCACCAGGGC
This 1095-nucleotide long non-coding RNA is filed under the name Heterocephalus glaber (naked mole-rat). RNAcentral describes it as "lncRNA (ENSHGLG00100046548.1)". The record is from RNAcentral. Lineage: Eukaryota; Metazoa; Chordata; Mammalia; Rodentia; Bathyergidae.